Molecule: long non-coding RNA, 2764 nt
Organism: Scylla paramamosain (green mud crab)
Lineage: Eukaryota; Metazoa; Arthropoda; Malacostraca; Decapoda; Portunidae
Exons: 3
Source: RefSeq, a predicted model, not a curated record
ACCAACUUUAAAAAAAAGAAAAAGGGCCCCCGUGGCCCAGUGGGUAGAGUGAUGCUCUUGGAGUUUGGCGUGAGGGAAAUGAGGGGCGCGUAGGUUCGAACCCCCCUCUCGGAACUCACAAAAACCUUCAAGGAGCAUCCCUCCAUCACCAUGUGUGCCUCAAACACACAGGCACGGUGGUGGAGCUGCCCACGGGGAGGAGGGGAGGUGAGUGCGCAGCACCUCCCUACCCUCCCCAGGGGAGGAAGGCACCGCCUUACCUCCCCCGGGAGAGCAAGGGAGGUGAGUGCACAGCGCUUCCCUUCUCUCCCCACCUAACCCUGGCAAGUCUACGGACUACCAGGCAAAAAAAAAAAAAUAAAUAAAUAAAAAUAAAGGUGAGUGCAUAGCACUUCCCUUCUCUCCAGCUAAAAGAAAAAUAAAAAAUAAAGAUGAGUGCAUAGCACUUCUCUUCUCUCCAGCUAGAAGAAAAAUAAAAAUUAAAGGUGAGCGCAUAGCACUUCCCUUCUCUCCCCCACCUUCCCGGCAAAAAAAAAUAAAAAAAUAAAAUAAAUAAAUAAGAAAUAAAGGAGAGUGCAAAGAAUUAAAAAAAUAAAGGUGAGUGCAUAGCACUUCCCUUCUCUCCACCUACCCGGCAAAAAAAUAAAUAAAUAAAAAUAAAGGUGAGUGCAUAGCACUUCCCUACCACUUCCCUACCUGACACUGGAAAGUCUACGGACUACCAGGCAAAAAAAAAAAAAAAAAGGAAGGGAGGUGAGUGCACAGCACCUCCCUUCCACUCCCCGGGGGAGACCAAGAGAAGUGAGUGAGUGCACAGCACUUCCCUUCUCUCCCCACCUAAGCCUGGCUAGUUGACGCACUACCAGGCAAAAAAGAAAAAAAAAAAAAAAAGGAAGGGAGGUGAGUGCACAGCACCUCCCUUCCACCCCCGGGGAGAGCAAGAGAAGUGAGUGCACAGUACUUCCCUUCUCUCCCCACCUAAGCCUGACUAGUCGACGCACUACCAGACAAAAAAAAAAAAAAAAAAAAAAAAAAAAAAAAAAAAAAAAAGGAAGGGAGGUGAGCGCACACCACCUCCCUUCCACCCCCCGGUGAGAGCAAGGGAGGUGAGUGUACAGCACUUCCCUUCUCUCCCCACCUAAGGCCUGGCUAGCCGACGCACUACCAGGCAAAAAUGAAAAAUAAAAAAGGAAGGGAGGUGAGUGCACAGCACCUCCCUUCCACCCCCCCAGGUAGAGCAAGAGAAGUGAGUGCACAGCACUUCCCUUCUCUCCCCACCUAAGCCUGGCUAGUGGACGCACUACUAGGAAAAAAUGAAAAAUAAAAAAGGAAGGGAGGUGAGUGCACAGCACCUCCCUUCCACCUCCCGGGGAGAGCAAGAGAAGUGAGUGCACAGCACUUCCAUUCUCUCCCCACCUAAGCCUGGCUAGUCGACGCACUACGAGGCAAAAAAAAAAAAAAAAAAGGAAGGGAGGUGAGUGCACAGCACCUCCCUUCCACCCCUGGGGAGACCAAGAGAAGUGAGUGCACAGCACUUCCCUUCCCUCCCCACCUAAGCCUGACUAGUCGACGCACUACCAGGCAAAAAAAAAAAAAAAAAAAAAAAAAUGGAAGGGAGGUGAGCGCACACCACCUCCCUUCCACCCCCCGGUGAGAGCAAGGGAGGUGAGUGCACAGCACUUCCCUUCUCUCCCCACCUAAGGCCUGGCUAGCCGACGCACUACCAGGCAAAAAUGAAAAAUAAAAAAGGAAGGGAGGUGAGUGCACAGCACCUCCCAUCCACCCCCCGGGUAGAGCAAGAGAAGUGAGUGCACAGCACUUCCCUUCUCUUCCCACCUAAGCCUGGCUAGUCGACCCACUACCAGGCAAAAAUGAAAAAAAAAAAAAAAAGGAAGGGAGGUGAGUGCACAGCACCUCCCUUCCACCCCCCGGGGAGAGUAAGAGAAGUGAGUGCACAGCACUUCCCUUCUCUCCCCACCUAAGCCUGGCUAGUCGACGCACUACGAGGCAAAAAAAAAAAAAAAAAAAAAAAAGGAAGGGAGGUGAGUGCACAGCACCUCCCUUCCACCCCUGGGGAGAGCAAGAGAAGUGAGUGCACAGCACUUCCCUUCUCUCCCCACCUAAGCCUGGCUAGUCGACGCACUACGAGGCAAAAAAAAAAAAAAGGAAGGGAGGUGAGUGCACAGCACCUCCGUUCCACUCCUGGGGAGAGCAAGAGAAGUGAGUGCACAGCACUUCCCUUCUCUCCCCACCUAAGCCUGGCUAGUCGACGCACUACCAGGCAAAAGAAAAAAAGAAAAAAAUAAAGGAAGGGAGGUGAGUGCACAGCACCUCCCUUCCACCCCCCGGUGAGAGCAAGAGAAGUGAGUGCACAGCACUUCCCUUCUCUCCCCACCUAAGCCUGACUAGUCGACGCACUACGAGCCAAAAAAAAAAAAAAAAAGGGAAGGGAGGUGAGUGCACAGCACCUCCCUUCCACCCCCAGUGAGAGCAAGAGAAGUGAGUGCACAGCACUUCCCUUCUCUCCCCACCUAAGGCCUGGCUAGCCGACGCACUACCAGGCAAAAAUGAAAAAAAAAAGGAAGGGAGGUGAGUGCACAGCACCUCCCUUCCACCCCCCGGGUAGAGCAAGAGAAGUGAGUGCACAGCACUUCCCUUCUCUCCCCACCUAAGCCUGGCUAGUCGACGCACUACGAGGCAAAAAAAAAAAAAAAUAUAUAUAUAUAUAUAUAUAUAUAUAUAUAUAUAUAUAUAUAUAUAUAUA